RNAcentral lists this ribosomal RNA (499 nucleotides) under uncultured eukaryote. Its description in RNAcentral is "SSU rRNA". It matches the Rfam family "Eukaryotic small subunit ribosomal RNA", at positions 27 to 505 of the family's 1831-position model. The record is from RNAcentral.
UAUGCUUGUCUCAAAGAUUAAGCCAUGCAUGUCUAAGUACAGGCUCUUGUGGACGGCGAAACCGCGAAUGGCUCAUUAGAUCAGUUAAUAUUUAUUAGAUCGUACGUCGCUACUUGGAUANCUGUGGUAAUUCUAGAGCUAAUACAUGCAAACAAACCCUCGCCUCGCGGCGACGGUGNUUUUAUUAGGUCAAAACCAACGCGGCGCCCGCUCGCGCGAGCGCCCCCAAAAAGCUGGUGACUCUGGAUAACUUUCUGUCGAUCGCACGGCCUCGCGCCGGCGACGUAUCUUUCAAAUGUCUGCCCUAUCAAGUUUCGAAGGUAGGUGCUAUGCUUACCUUGCUUAUAACGGGUAACGGGGAAUCAGGGUUCGAUUCCGGAGAGGGAGCAUGAGAAACGGCUACCACAUCUAAGGAAGGCAGCAGGCGCGCAAAUUACCCACUCCUGGCNCGGGGAGGGGGUGACAAGAAAUAACAAUACGGGACUCUAUCGAGGCCCCG